GAUGAACGCUGGCGGUCUGCUUAACACAUGCAAGUCGAACGGGCUCUCGGAGCUAGUGGCGGACGGGUGAGUAACGCGUGAGGAUCUGCCGUUAGGACGGGGACAACAGCUGGAAACGGCUGCUAAUACCCGAUGUGCCGAGAGGUGAAACUAUUUGGCCUGAGGAUGAGCUCGCGUCUGAUUAGCUAGUUGGAGUGGUAACGGCACACCAAGGCGACGAUCAGUAGCUGGUCUGAGAGGAUGAUCAGCCACACUGGGACUGAGACACGGCCCAGACUCCUACGGGAGGCAGCAGUGGGGAAUUUUCCGCAAUGGGCGAAAGCCUGACGGAGCAAGACCGCGUGCGGGAGGAAGGUCUAUUGAUUGUAAACCGCUUUUGAUAGGGAAGAAGAUCUGACGGUACCUAUCGAAUCAGCAUCGGCUAACUCCGUGCCAGCAGCCGCGGUAAUACGGGGGAUGCAAGCGUUAUCCGGAAUUAUUGGGCGUAAAGCGUCCGUAGGUGGUUUUAAAAGUCUGUUGUCAAAUCGCGAGGCUUAACCUCGUACAGGCAGUGGAAACUGUAAGACUAGAGUGCGGUAGGGGUAGAGGGAAUUUCCAGUGUAGCGGUGAAAUGCGUAGAUAUUGGAAGAACACCGGUGGCGAAGGCGCUCUACUGGGCUGCACUGACACUGAGGGACGAAAGCUAGGGGAGCGAAAGGGAUUAGAUACCCCUGUAGUCCUAGCCGUAAACGAUGGAAACUAGGUGUUGCCCG
Molecule: ribosomal RNA, 752 nt
Filed under: uncultured cyanobacterium
Lineage: Bacteria; Bacillati; Cyanobacteriota
Description: bacterial SSU rRNA
Rfam family: Bacterial small subunit ribosomal RNA
Source: RNAcentral